This is a long non-coding RNA of Drosophila yakuba, 6036 nucleotides long. RefSeq lists it as uncharacterized. Lineage: Eukaryota; Metazoa; Arthropoda; Insecta; Diptera; Drosophilidae. The transcript has 4 exons. The record is from RefSeq and is a predicted model, not a curated record.
CUCAUCCAGAAACUGGGCACUGAACACAAUAGUUUAGGAUUCAUCUAUCGAAGGGAGUUAUGUUGGAUAGAGGCAAACCGCUCGUGGGAGUGGUCAGGUCCAAAAAUCACAAUGGAACGCCCGAUGGCGCCCACGGGAGCUUCCAGGGGAAAGUUGGAGUCGGUCAGGACAACGCGCUCACCUCCAAGAUCUGGAAAGCCAUACGGGCGCCCACAUCGCCAACGUAGCAGCGCAGCGGAUUAUCCGGACUGCACUCCUGCUCAUAGAGAUCCAGCUGAAAAGGAGUGAUUUUUUGUAUAUAUUAAUAUCCUUUAAAUAUGAGUGGAGAACAUACAUUCAGGGGAUCCGCCAGCUGUGUAUAGUAUGGAUUCCAAACAUAACCGCCAGCCACACAGCGCGUAAUUGUGGGCUUUACGGCUGCAUCCACGCCCACGGGAUUAACGAAGAUCUGCCAGUUGUGGUUUCGCGUAGAGUUGCGAUCGUUUUUGCCCGGAUGCCGUAGCUUAACCUCGAUCACCGUCUCCGACUGGCUGCCAUCGUUGUGGAUGAGCUGCGUCAUCUUAAUGUAACCAUAGGCGUAUCCCGUGGGAUGAUGGAACGAGGCAAUGGCUCUCAGUUCCCUGGCCUCACUGGGACUGUAGCCACGCUCCAGAGUGCUAAAUUUACAGGUUAAGUUAAAUGAAAAUCUCAACUAAUUAUAUUAAUCUCACCUGCAAGCCCAUCGAGCAUUCUUCUGCUUCUUCUGAAUAACCACAGAUCUGCCAAUGAUGCUGUUGUAGCCGAAAAGUGGAAGAUUCGUGUCGUUGUAGGAAUCCUCGAACUGGGUUGCUCCCUCAAGACCUCCGAACUUUCCACUCAGAUCGCCCAUCUCAUACUGAUCGGUGGUGCCCCUCUUGGGAGGUGGUGAUGACUUUGGACUGACGUCGAAGGGAUUCCAGUGACCAUAUAGAGUGGAUGCCUCGCAGGGAAAGGCCAAGUUCGCUUCCACGGGUGUCUAAAACACAGAAGUCCCUUCAGUUGCACCUCCACAUUGCUGACAUCGUACUCCGAUUGCUGGGUGAUCUCCACGCGGCCGCUGACUGUCAACGAGUCUCCAUUUGCGUACCACUCCUUGGCCACCACCUUCCGCCGGAAAUGACCAAUCACGGCGGAGCAAGCCAAUCGCUCGCCUCUGGCCUUGGGACCACUAUCCUCGUAGAUAACCAGCGACUUACCCAGGAUACUGUGUCUGCCGGACAGUGGCAGAUUGCCAUCCACAAACAUUUUCCUACUUAUUUUCUGGGCCACUCGUCUGCCGCCAGCGAUGGUCAGGGUUCCCGAUCUGGCAUCCAUGGCGCCCACUCGGCACAUGGCGGGUAUGCUGGGUUGGCAGAAGUCGUCCACACUGCGAUUGCCCCAAUCCACGCGGAAGGGAUUAUACACAGGUCCUGCGGAAAUGCAUCUCUGCUGCCAGUCAUAGAAGUCCUUGCCGGGUGCAUUGCUAUGGAUUGCCCAGCGAUGAUCGUGCGUGGUAUUCUGCGUGGAGCCGUCCGCCUGGAUGAGGUACUCGAAUAGCACGCUGGUAUCCUGCCAAGGCUGCUCCGCCGGCUGCCGGAAUAUGACACGACCCACCACAGGAUAGCGGAACAGGACCUAAAAUACAAGCGGGAUUUGGGAUUUAGGAUCAAAUAUUACUUCAUCUACCCACCUGAGCCGUAACCAUGUUCUGCUGGUAGAUCCCAUUUCGUUGGUAUUGACUUAGGCUCGAACAGCCCCAGAUCAUCUUUGUAAUGUCCGUGACAUUCGAUCGAUUGAAGGUGUAGAUGACCAGACUCCUUUGGGCAAUGCUCUGGCGUCCUUGCAGGGGCAGGAAUACGUCCCAGUAGAGGCCAUUCAACUCGGAACUCGUGCCGGGCAAGACAUACUGAUGCCAGUAGCCUUUAUUGCGACCCUGCAGCUUCCCGGAGAGAUCGCCCACGGGAUACUGCUCCUGGGUUCCGUAGCCGGGUGGUGGUAUAUUCUCGUUUAGCUCCCGCGGAUUAUGCAUGUCCCCGGUGGUCAGACAGUAGUCCUCGUGACCCAUUCUCGAGGGCACCGGCGGCAGGCUGUGAAUCCGAAAGGCGGCCACAUCUUCGGCGAACUUGCGACUCACAUGCUGCGAAAGCGGUGCUUCCAAGGUGAAAUUGAGGAAAGUGGGGUCGAACUUGGAGCGCUGCAUGAAGGUAACCUCUCCCUUGACUCCACCCGAGUUGAUGAAAGUUCUGCGGUUCAGAAAGAACAAUGGUUAUACUUUCAAACGGCUUGGGAUGUAAAAACCACUUACUUGUGGGUCAAAGGUUGCACAUGGCGAAUCUUCGUGCACGCGAGGUACGAAUCUGGAUGUUGGUUGUCAAAAAGUACCAAGUAGAGAGUUCUAUGCGGAAUGGUGAGAUCCGAGGGCAGCAGCGCCAACUGGGCAUCCCUGAAAACGCUGCGUUGUGGCGCACGAAGGGCAUUCUUGGCCACUCCAAUCCUGCCGAGACGUGCGUCCAGAUCGCCAAUGCCCUUGCCAGCGCCACUUCCUUGGGGAUCGAACACCUGCUGCAGGAAGUUGCAGUUGUCCUCCGUGCGAUGGUGGUCAUGCUUGAAGAUGUCCGUCACAUAGAUCUUCCAGUGGUGCUGGGUGAACGGUCCAGCCUGACUUCUGUCCUCCUCCAGCGCAGCUGGUUGCGCCCUGAUGUGGUAGAGAUCCGAGUAGAUUAGUGUAUCCCCAAUAGCUCCCUCCGCCGGCGCCAGCCAGCGGAAAUGGACGGAUCCGGCCACCGGAGUAUUAAAACGUGCCUCUGCCAUGUGCUCCACGGAACUCUGGAUGGUGGUGAUGGUGGCACAGAUCCGUGCAUUCGCGUUGACCUCUGUGAGCAGCAGUGACUUGCCCCAGAUGCCGCGAUCCCCAAUCAACUGCAUGUUUCGCUCCCACGUGGAAGUCUCAUUGCCGGGCAGUACCAGGUACUCCAAGUCCUCAUCGAAGGACAGCACCUGCGAUCCCAAGCGACUCAGUUCGCAGCGCUCGUCGGGAUCAGUGUUGGAGUAGUCCACGGGGAAGCGACGUACUGCCCAACUCCAGACCUGGUCGGGGUACUGCAGUGUGGCCUCCAGAUUGGCCUUGAUCUCCACCGUGGUGGCAUUCAUUUGCCGAAAGGUGAUCUCUCCGUGCAGACCUCUUUGCGAGAUGUAGGCGAUCAGAUGCUGUGCAUCAGCUGAGAGGCACGAAAACGACAGUGAGAGUGGGCCAUCAUGAGUCAGGUGAGAUAUCACAAAGGUGCACAGCGAGAAAUUUAAAUGAAUAAAAUAAAUAUAUAUCAUUAGAGAUGCAAAUUUAGUUAACUUCCAAUCAAAAUAUGCAGCAUCCGGCAUAAGUAUUUUGUUCACCCUGAACUUAUUUAAUAACCUGUGAUUUCUCUCAGUGCACUCGAGAGUGUGGUGAGAUAUCUGAGACAGAGUCUGAGAUACUUUCGUUUUCUGUGGCCACGCAAUAUCUGCAUACAAUGCACGGAUAACCGAUUCCCAGCACUCACCGCCACUCAUUAGUGAUGCAAUCCAGCAGACGGAAGCCAGCCACAAAAGCUGACCACCUGGAGCCAUGGUUCUGGUGCUGGUUCUGCAGCUGGUUGUGGUUCUGGUUGUGGUGCCCACGGAAUAACCAGAUUCCUAGAAAUGCGCUGUUCGAAUGGAAAAGUGCUGUGGCAAUGGCGAGCGUGGCUGACUUUCACAUCGUAGUGCGCAUGCGUGCGCCUCGAAACUCGACUGGAAACUGGUAGCUGCUCGUACUACCAAGUCAUUUCGUGUUCGGUUUUGGCCAUCGACUUGGCCAAGUGUGGGGAGUUUCCCACUGCGCUCCACCGCCUCGCUGGCUCCCCAGCUUUAUCGCUGCUUUUGUUUUGACCUGGAACUGGUUUCCGGCUUCGCUCAGCUGAGUCAGUUGUGCAGUAAGUACAAGUACCCCCUCCAAAAUAAACCCCUUCCCUGGGAAAGUCAAACUCCAAGGGCUUUGUUGUUUUUUCAAGACGACUCUCUUGUGCUUUAUUCCAAGACUUCGUCAUCGUAUCAUCAUCUAGUUGUGUUGUAUAAAAACAGUUACUUGUUUACUAUUUUUAGAUGGUUUUUUUUUUUUUGUUUGUUAUUCUUUCGUUAAUAUUCCUGACCGGGUUAAAAGUUUUGUGAAUUUUCUCAUCUUGCCGUGUGUAGCUUACAUUAUACUGAAGUAAAGAUUCGAUUCGCGUUUAACAACUUGUUGCAUGUUGCAUUUUGAAAUGGAUUGUAGUGUGCGUGUAGAUGUGAGUGUGUGCUCGUGUCGAGUAUUGAGUGUUAUGUGUUGAGUUCUGAGUAUUAGAAGUACAUAAAUAUAGCAGUAUAUAGAGGCCUCCUCCGAUCAGCCUAGGUACUAGUGGUACCGGGUACCUUAUUCAAACUAAAAACCCCCCCGCCCGUCUACUUCCCGGGGUAGGAGGAUCAACCUGGAAGCUUCGAAACGCAUUAACUAGAAACACUGGGUUAUUUGUUCGUAUGUUUCUUCAUAUUUCAGAUAUCAUUUUGGGUUGUUGUUUGUUCGUUUUUGGGUGUUUUAUAUCGCUGAUAGUUCAUAAGCAGAAAGUUGAAGUGGUGGUGGUGGUAAGUAGUAAUGUAAUAUAAAUUCGCAUUAACAAUUUGAGUGAAUGAACUUAAUGUUUCUCUGUUAUUAGCCUAACUCUCGAUAACUUGCAAUAAUAUUGAUAACUCAUAACUGAUAAGUAAGUAACGAACGAUAGAUAUGCAUAACGAUAAAUAUUUUGUGAUAGUAGGAUAUAUAUUUGGCUCUCAGUUAAAAUGUUCCCUAACAAUAGUUUUGCUAUAGGUUUACCUCUCUCUCUCCUGGUCCUGCGAGAUUUCUCAAACGAAAAACAUUGUAACUCACAAAACUGGCUAAAAAAUUCAUAGUCAUAAUCAUAAUCAAAGUGAACUCGUGGGCACAGGACUAACGAAUCCAGCCUGGCUACCCAUCAACAUCGUCUUCCUCCUCCCUACAUCAUAAAUCAUACAUUAUACAUCAUCAUACAUCAUAUAUCAUACAUCCUCAUUUCGAUUUCGAUUGCGAUCUCGAUCUAGAUCUCGAUGUGGUAUUCAUCACUCUUUAGUACUUCAACGGACAGCGAUAUAAAAAUAGACACGGCUUGUUUGUUGUUUUUAAGCUUUUUUUGUUGAUUUUAUAGGUGUUUUAAAUAAAAUAGAUAGCAUUUGUUUUAUAAAUUUUACGUGUAAAAUUUAACAGUAAAUCAACUAGAAAACUACGCGUCAGUUCUUGCCGUGACAGUGUGAACAUGAUCGAUCGUAAGUAUCCCUAACUAUGAUGGACAGAUACAUGGUAAAUGGUUCUGAUCGCUACCAAAUGUUGCUGAAGAAGUUCUUUUUUCAGUUUGAUCGGAUGUUGUUGAUCUUGUUGGUGGUGUUGUUGUUGUUGUUGUUGUUUGUUGUUCUUGGUACAAGAUACUUGGUACUUGAUACUAGAUACUUGAUACUUGGUGAUGGUUAACAAAAGAGAGAUUACAAGAUACUGAGAAUCUACAUAUGUAAACGAGCGUUUCUUUUAAUUACGUUUAUUAUUACUGAUUUGACUGAUUGAUUUAACGUUCUGAUUCUGGCUGUAAUAUGGAUGUUGAGUUAGAAGUUAGGAUGUGAUCGGAUGCGCCUUAGGCGGCCUCCUCCUCCUCCUCUUCACCCUUGCCGGUGAGCAUCUCGAUCAGGGCGGCGGUAUCGAUCUGGUUCUUGUCGUCGACCACCAUCUGAUCGUAGGCAUCAUCAACCUCCUUCAUGGUGAACUUGUCACCGAAGUUCAUGAGCAUUUCGCGGAAUUUGUCACCGUCGAUGAGACCAUCGUUAUCGAAUGUUUUGAAGGCAGCAAUAACAACUUCGUCUUCAUCGUUGGCACCGGAGGUGGCCAUGCGGUUGGCGAACAGGGUCAGCAACUGGGUGAAGUUGAUCGGACCCGAGGCCUCGCCCAGCAUGGCGUCCAACUCCUUGUCGUUGGCGAUCUUGCCGACGGAG